This 119-nucleotide ribosomal RNA is filed under the name Cairina moschata (Muscovy duck). The record is from RNAcentral. Lineage: Eukaryota; Metazoa; Chordata; Aves; Anseriformes; Anatidae.
GCCUAUGGCCAUACCACCCUGGCAAUGCCCGAUCUUGUCUGAUCUUGGAAGCUAAGCAGGGUCGGACCCAGUUAGUACUUGCAUGGGAGACCUCCUGGGAAUACUGGGUGCUGUAGGCU